UGCCAGCAGCCGCGGUAAUACGUAGGGUGCGAGCGUUAAUCGGAAUUACUGGGCGUAAAGCGUGCGCAGGCGGUUGUGCAAGACAGGCGUGAAAUCCCCGGGCUUAACCUGGGAAUGGCGCUUGUGACUGCACGGCUGGAGUGCGGCAGAGGGGGAUGGAAUUCCGCGUGUAGCAGUGAAAUGCGUAGAUAUGCGGAGGAACACCGAUGGCGAAGGCAGUCCCCUGGGCCUGCACUGACGCUCAUGCACGAAAGCGUGGGGAGCAAACAGGAUUAGAUA
This 279-nucleotide ribosomal RNA is filed under the name uncultured bacterium. RNAcentral's name for it is "partial 16S ribosomal RNA". It matches the Rfam family "Bacterial small subunit ribosomal RNA", at positions 506 to 784 of the family's 1533-position model. The record is from RNAcentral.